RNAcentral lists this ribosomal RNA (459 nucleotides) under uncultured bacterium. RNAcentral describes it as "partial 16S ribosomal RNA". It matches the Rfam family "Bacterial small subunit ribosomal RNA", at positions 338 to 795 of the family's 1533-position model. The record is from RNAcentral.
CCUACGGGUGACAGCAGUGAGGAAUAUUGGUCAAUGGGCGCGAGCCUGAACCAGCCAAGUCGCGUGAGGGAAGACGGUCCUAUGGAUUGUAAGCCUCUUUUGUCGGGGAGCAAAAGACGCCACGCGUGGCGUUCCGAGAGUACCCGAAGAAAAGGCAUCGGCUAACUCCGUGCCAGCAGCCGCGGUAAUACGGAGGAUGCGAGCGUUAUCCGGAUUUAUUGGGUUUAAAGGGUGCGCAGGCGGAAGAUCAAGUCAGCGGUAAAAUUGAGGGGCUCAACCUCUUCGAGACGUUGAAACUGGUGUUCUUGAGUGAGUGAGAAGUAUGCGGAAUGCGUGGUGUAGCGGUGAAAUGCAUAGAUAUCACGCAGAACUCCGAUUGCGAAGGCAGCAUACCGGCGCUCAACUGACGCUCAUGCACGAAAGUGUGGGUAUCGAACAGGAUUAGAUACCCUGGUAGUC